This 372-nucleotide long non-coding RNA is filed under the name Glycine max (soybean). RNAcentral's name for it is "long non-coding RNA (GMAX_LNC004181)". Lineage: Eukaryota; Viridiplantae; Streptophyta; Magnoliopsida; Fabales; Fabaceae. The record is from RNAcentral.
UUUUACUUUCUCUCCAACUGACACAUAAAAAAUGGAGGGUCUUAUUCCUUUUGUUUACAAGGCUAUCAUGCAAUACAAGGGUGACAAAGACGGUCAUCCUAUAGGAUCAUGGCUUUGUGAGUCACCUUCUUACUCAUACAUGAGACUUCCUGCUGGUGACUCAGGUAGGUUUCAAAUUCAAGCACCUGCUUCUUCAUUCUCUGCAGCUUCACCCUCUUCCACCAACCCUAAUUCUUCUUCUGCUACACAAAUCAUUGUUUCCUCUGGUGUUCAGUCCCCACAUCAGUGUCUUACACAUCGUCGAAUUGCAGCAUGAACAUGAACAAUUCAAGUUUGUGUGCCUGAAGAAAAAGUUGAAGGUGCUUAUUGCUU